CGUGGGUUCAGAGAGAAAGGGACGCUACUGUCGUUUGUUGGGGGGUUUUGAUGUUAGCUGCAUUGCUUGGAUGAUGUAUUUCUACCUAUGAUGGGAUGGCGAUGGUGAGCGUGAUUAAUUUUGGUUUUGACGCAGAGUAACCUCGAGAGUGUUUAGUGCCCUUUUUUUUUUAUUGUAGACGGAUCUUGAAGCUUAAGGAUUUGAAAACCAUGCUGUUCCCCACGUCCAGAAGAUGAGUAACAUUUUACAUGUGAAAUGUUCUGAAUGACACCUUUGAAAAUAUGGAACUUCACUUCAAGCUUCCAAUCUAGGACUUGUAUCCAAUUAUGCAGGCGGCGUGGAAUUCUCAUUAGUGAGAUGUGAAUGUCCAUAACAUGUACACAGACCACCAAGGAAAUCUUGACAACUGAGUAUCCCAGUAAAGUUUUUCACAUGAUUUGAGAUACUGCAUAGUUCAACAAUACUCCUUGCAAAUGUGUUAUGUCCCAUGACAGACAUCUGUUCCUCGUAAUUCGUAAUGACUCAAUUCAGAUUUCAAGACUCCCUGGCUCAUCAUCAAAUUGGAUUAUCUUUAACGUUGGUCAAGAAGGCUACUACCGGGUGAUUUACGAUGAACGAAACUUAAAUAUGAUCCGAGAGCAACUUAUGAAGAGCCACACUGUCAUUUCGAAAAAGAAUCGAGCUCAAAUUUUGGACGAUUAUUUGAACAUGGCCCGGGCGAAUCUGACGUCCUACGUAUCCGCCAUGGAACUGACCCGCUAUCUCACCAACGAACACGACUACGCACCUUGGACAGCUGCUUCUGUGGCUCUCAAUUAUAUUGACGUCAUGUUUUAUGGUUUACGCGAUGAAAGAGACUGGAAGGAUUACAUGACCGGUUUGGUGAUUCCUCUAUACAAUCACGUGAAAUAUACCGAGAGUGCCAGCGACGUUCACUUGACAGUUUUCACGCGUUCUCAAGCUCUCUAUUGGGCUUGCAGCAAAUUAAACAUUUCCGACUGUGUCCAGAACGCCGAUAGAGAUUACUAUGCCUGGAUGGCCAACGACGCCAAUGAACUGUCGCCGAAUUUACGCCGAUUGAUUUCUUGCACGGCCAUCGCUGACGGAAGUCGACCCGAAUGGAAAUUUGGCUUCGAUAAAUACGUGAAUUCGACUUUGCCCAACGAGAAAACUGAACUGCUCUGAGCCAUCACUUGCACCGUGAAUGUCAACCAUUCUCAACGAAAUGCUUGUUAUGAUGAUUACCAACAACUCGGAUAUAAGACUUCAAGAUGCCAGUACCCUUUUCAGCAACAUUGCUGCCAAUCCAGUGGGACAUCAAGUGGCGAUGGAUUUCUUGAUCAAUCGUUGGGAUGAAACCUCCGCUUAUUUCGGCGGCUUUCAAGGCUUCGGCGGAGGGACCAUGGCGAGACUGUUCCGUUCUCUUUGCAAUCGAGUCAACACUCAAGCGAAGCUGAAUCAGUUGAAGAAGUUGCGGAGCGAUCACCCGGCUGAAUUGGGUUCUUCCAAAUCAGUUAGCCAAGGAAUGGAAGUGGCUGAGGCCAACGUCCUGUGGGUUCAACAACAUUACGAUACCAUCGUCAAUUGGCUCAAGAGCCAACAAUCUGCAGCGACCACACAACCAACAGUUGCCACGACUCCUUCGACAGUUGCCACCACUCCUUCGACAGCUUCCAGUGUUUACCUUGACAACUUUUCCGCUUUGAUAAUGGCCGUAUUGGCUGGAUUCUGGAGUUUGACGCGUUUUUGUUCGUUUCCAUGAAACUUAGGAGACUAUAAAAGAGGGAGAUGCAAAUUUGCGAAACAAUAAAUUUUACAAAUGAAUGAUUAAA
Long non-coding RNA from Daphnia pulex (common water flea), 1832 nucleotides. RefSeq lists it as uncharacterized. NCBI's taxonomy places the organism in Eukaryota, Metazoa, Arthropoda, Branchiopoda, Diplostraca, Daphniidae. The record is from RefSeq and is a predicted model, not a curated record. The transcript has 9 exons.